This is a long non-coding RNA of Hemicordylus capensis (graceful crag lizard), 1133 nucleotides long. RefSeq lists it as uncharacterized. Lineage: Eukaryota; Metazoa; Chordata; Lepidosauria; Squamata; Cordylidae. The record is from RefSeq and is a predicted model, not a curated record. The transcript is spliced from 2 exons.
AUUUUCGGCUGCUAAGGAACCGAGGAGGCUAAAUGGGCCCAGACUGAAAUAUUUCUCCGAGAGGAAGCUUGUUAUGCAGCUCACAUCCGUGGGCCACGAGGUGUAUGCCGCAGUGCCUUUCGCUGAUGGGGCCAUUCUUCAAGAAGCGCAUAGGGCUGCCAUGUGCUCCACAAGCACAGACAGGCACCUUGGCUCCGCCGGGGCCCUUGCAGCCAUCUUCUGCGGUGACCCUCACGAGUGCCUGACUUGAGACUCUGAUUUUGUCAUCCAUCCAUCCCCAGCUGCUGGUGCGCUGCCCCUGGGGCACCCUUGCAUAGUGGCGCACGUUUGGGAGCGAGGAGGAGAAGCCGCCCGUGUGUCAUCUGCUGACAACUUUGGGCAAGGGGAGGCACUCUGUCUGCCAGCACGAGGAGCUUGCCUCUGAUUUGUACACGAAGGACGCAGAGGGUUAAAGACAAUCUCUAAAAAGGUGGCAUAUGCAAACAUGACUGUAUAAUGAGAAGGAAAUAUCCUUGGGGAGGAAAGAGUGGUGAAAAGCUAUUGCCAUCAUCCUUGCUUGUGGGUUUCCCAGAUGGACCUGGUUGGCCCAGUACUGGAAACAUAAUCCUGGACUAGACAGGCCUUUGGUCUGAUCCAGCAGGACAAUUCAUAUCCUUUUAGAGCUGGAAAUGUCACUAUCCUUGUGAAUGCAUAAAUGGAGCCCCUGUGGGCAAUCAGAAGGUACUGGGGUAACCCACAGAUACAUCAGUUUCACAAAAAUCUAAAGGAAAAAACCUAUGGGGGCCAACCCCCAACCCACCAAACUACCCCAAUAUAACUCAAUGGAACAGAAUAUUCAUGAAUUCAGAGGGCAGUUCACAACCAACCAGGUGGGCGGAGCUAAUGGAACUCAGUGGCGAGGAGGGGGAAGUCGGGCUGGAACAAAAAGAGUGUGAAAUUUCUCAUCUUAAAGAAUAUGUCUUCUCACAACCCUUUCUGCUUCUGACGGGGAGAGGUGUCCAAAACUCUCACCAUGCUCAGCCACAGACUCAGGUAACAAAUGCUGCUCACCAGGAGUAUACCGUAACAUGUGGUUGUGGGUCCAUACGUUCCACUGUUUAUUAAUAAAAAGAGAUAAAAACUUGGCAAGGAAA